GGCGAGAUGGCCGAGCGGUCCAAGGCGCUGGUUUUGGGCACCAGUCCCUUCGAGGGCGUCGUUUUGAAUCCAACUCUCAUCA
Angiostrongylus cantonensis (rat lungworm) is the source of this 82-nucleotide non-coding RNA. The record is from Rfam. Lineage: Eukaryota; Metazoa; Nematoda; Chromadorea; Rhabditida; Metastrongylidae.